Molecule: ribosomal RNA, 273 nt
Filed under: uncultured bacterium
Lineage: Bacteria
Description: partial 16S ribosomal RNA
Rfam family: Bacterial small subunit ribosomal RNA
Source: RNAcentral
GACGGAGGGUGCAAGAGUUUUUCGGAAUCACUGGGCGUAAAGCGCGUGUAGGCGGUUCGAUAAGUCGGACGUGAAAGCCCGGGGCUUAACCCCGGAAGGGCAUCCGAAACUGUCGAGCUUGAGUACGGGAGAGGGAAGCGGAAUUCCUGGUGUAGAGGUGAAAUUCGUAGAUAUCAGGAGGAACACCGGUGGCGAAGGCGGCUUCAUGGACCGAUAAGGAAGCUGAGACGAGCAAGCGUGGGGCGCACACAGGCGGAGAUAACCCCGUAGUCC